RNAcentral lists this ribosomal RNA (696 nucleotides) under Triticum aestivum (bread wheat). RNAcentral describes it as "partial small subunit ribosomal RNA". The record is from RNAcentral. Lineage: Eukaryota; Viridiplantae; Streptophyta; Magnoliopsida; Poales; Poaceae.
AUGGAGGCGAGCGGCAGCAGGGGAUGGAGGCGCCAACAGCUCUUGAUUGAUGGUUCCAUAUCUGGUUCUUCAUUGGACGCUGUUGAACGUCCACACUGGAUAUGGAUUUUCUCCAUCAAUGGCCACUUGGGAUGGAUUAAAUAUAUGCGUCCAGCUCUUCAAGUAUGGCACAGAGCCGGAGCAUCUGCUGUUCCACCAAAAGUCAGAAUCCUCGGCUGGAGGAUUGCCACUAAUUCUUUGGCUACAAAAAAGAACAAGUUCAGAAGGACUAUUGAGGUGGAUUCCACAUGUAUUAUAUGUGGAAACAGCGAGGAGGAUGAAUUUCAUGCAGUAGUCGAGUGUACCAAGAGCAGAGCUCUGAGGGAAGCAAUGAGAAAGGAAUGGGCACUCCCCCCAGAAAGUUCAUUUCGGCGCACUGGACCUGAUUGGCUGCAGUUGCUACUUAGUACUGUAACAGAGGAUAUGCGUGCGAGAUUAGUAAUGCUACUGUGGAGAUGCUAUGGAGUGAUCCGGGAUCUCAAAGAAGCACUGGCUUUGUUUGCAGAGCACAAGAUCUCUUUUGUUUGGAGGAAUUGCAACGUUUUAGCCCAUCAACUAGCUGCAGAGGCCAAACAGAAUGGAAACCUGCUAAUCAAUGCGGGGGUCCCGGAUAGAUUAAGGGAUCAGUUGACGUCGGAGUGUAAUCCUUCUACUUGA